Molecule: ribosomal RNA, 234 nt
Filed under: uncultured bacterium
Lineage: Bacteria
Description: partial 16S ribosomal RNA
Rfam family: Bacterial small subunit ribosomal RNA
Source: RNAcentral
GAUCCUGGCUCAGGAUGAACGCUAGCUACAGGCUUAACACAUGCAAGUCGAGGGGAAACGAUAUUGGAAGCUUGCUUCCGAUAGGCGUCGACCGGCGCACGGGUGAGUAACGCGUAUCCAACCUGCCCACCACUUGGGGGAUAACCUUGCGAAAGUAAGACUAAUACCCAACUGAUAUCUCUAGAAGACAUCUGAAAGAGAUUAAAGAAUUAUCGUGAUGGAUGGGGAGUGCGU